This 490-nucleotide ribosomal RNA is filed under the name Escherichia coli. Its description in RNAcentral is "bacterial SSU rRNA". It matches the Rfam family "Bacterial small subunit ribosomal RNA", at positions 1 to 480 of the family's 1533-position model. Lineage: Bacteria; Pseudomonadati; Pseudomonadota; Gammaproteobacteria; Enterobacterales; Enterobacteriaceae. The record is from RNAcentral.
AAAUUGAAGAGUUUGAUCAUGGCUCAGAUUGAACGCUGGCGGCAGGCCUAACACAUGCAAGUCGAACGGUAACAGGAAACAGCUUGCUGUUUCGCUGACGAGUGGCGGACGGGUGAGUAAUGUCUGGGAAACUGCCUGAUGGAGGGGGAUAACUACUGGAAACGGUAGCUAAUACCGCAUAACGUCGCAAGACCAAAGAGGGGGACCUUCGGGCCUCUUGCCAUCGGAUGUGCCCAGAUGGGAUUAGCUAGUAGGUGGGGUAACGGCUCACCUAGGCGACGAUCCCUAGCUGGUCUGAGAGGAUGACCAGCCACACUGGAACUGAGACACGGUCCAGACUCCUACGGGAGGCAGCAGUGGGGAAUAUUGCACAAUGGGCGCAAGCCUGAUGCAGCCAUGCCGCGUGUAUGAAGAAGGCCUUCGGGUUGUAAAGUACUUUCAGCGGGGAGGAAGGGAGUAAAGUUAAUACCUUUACUCAUUGACGUUACCC